CAAGAAAAGGUCAGGAUAGCUCAGUGGCAG
Molecule: transfer RNA, 30 nt
Filed under: Arctagrostis latifolia
Lineage: Eukaryota; Viridiplantae; Streptophyta; Magnoliopsida; Poales; Poaceae
Description: partial tRNA-Phe
Source: RNAcentral